CUCAGACUGUCGAACAUACCACUACGGAUAAUCAAGAAAAAAUAACAGUUAACACUUCAGUUCCAAUAUCACCACUCAAUAUAAUUCAAAAUGAGGUGAAGCACGUCUUAGAGAAUGUCGUGAAUAAUGUGUUGAUAUUGGAAAGCGAUAGAAUGCAAAGAAAUGUCGAAAAUAACAUUCAAGACAUCAAAAUACUAUUAGAAGAUAUAAUUCAAGAAAUUUUAUUAUCUUUGGACGAAAAACAACCGCCUCGAGAAAAGAGUUUUCAAGUUCUUCCGAAUAAGACAGAUACUGCCACGAAUUUAGACAAAACGGACUGUGGUAAUUCCGAAAAAAUAAAUU
Molecule: long non-coding RNA, 342 nt
Organism: Diorhabda sublineata
Lineage: Eukaryota; Metazoa; Arthropoda; Insecta; Coleoptera; Chrysomelidae
Exons: 3
Source: RefSeq, a predicted model, not a curated record